CCAAUGGGGUCAGUGGGGUCAUGGUGGGAACCAAUGGGGUCAAUGGGACCCAAUGGGGUCAAUGGGGACAUGGUGGGACCCAGUGGGGUCAAUGGGACCCAACGGGGUCAAUGGGGUCAUGGUGGGACCCAAUGGGGUCAAUGGGACUCAAUGGGGUCAAUGGGGUCAUGGUAGGAGCCAAUGGGGUCAAUGGGACCCAAUGGGGUCAAUGGGGUCAUGGUAGGAGCCAAUGGGGUCAGUGGGACCCAAUGGGGUCAAUGGGGUCAUGGUAGGAGCCAGUGGGGUCAAUGGGACCCAAUGGGGUCAAUGGGGUCAUGGUAGGAGCCAAUGGGGUCAAUGGGGUCAUGGUAGGAGCCAAUGGGGUCAAUGGGACUCAAUGGGGUCAAUGGGGUCAUGGUAGGAGCCAAUGGGACCCAAUGGGGUCAAUGGGGACAUGGUAGGAGCCAAUGGGGUCAAUGGGACCCAAUGGGGUCAAUGGGGUCAUGGUAGGAGCCAAUGGGGUCAAUGGGGUCAUGUGGGGUCAUGGUGGGACCCAAUGGGGUCAAUGGGACCCAAUGGGGUCAAUGGGGUCAUGGUAGGAGCCAAUGGGGUCAGUGGGACCCAAUGGGGUCAAUGGGGCCAUGGUGGGACCCAUGGGACCCAAUGGAGUCAAUGGGGUCGUGGUGGGACCCAGUCUAUGGGGUGGGUCUAUGGGGUGAAUCUAUGGGGUCAG
Tympanuchus pallidicinctus (lesser prairie-chicken) is the source of this 712-nucleotide long non-coding RNA. RefSeq lists it as uncharacterized. The transcript is spliced from 5 exons. The record is from RefSeq and is a predicted model, not a curated record. NCBI's taxonomy places the organism in Eukaryota, Metazoa, Chordata, Aves, Galliformes, Phasianidae.